UUAAUUGAAGAGUUUGAUCAUGGCUCAGAUUGAACGCUGGCGGCAGGCCUAACACAUGCAAGUCGAGCGGUAACAGGGGAAGCUUGCUUCCCGCUGACGAGCGGCGGACGGGUGAGUAAUGUAUGGGGAUCUGCCCGAUAGAGGGGGAUAACUACUGGAAACGGUAGCUAAUACCGCAUAAUCUCUAAGGAGCAAAGCAGGGGAACUUCGGUCCUUGCG
RNAcentral lists this ribosomal RNA (219 nucleotides) under Providencia stuartii. RNAcentral describes it as "partial 16S ribosomal RNA". It matches the Rfam family "Bacterial small subunit ribosomal RNA", at positions 1 to 217 of the family's 1533-position model. The record is from RNAcentral. Lineage: Bacteria; Pseudomonadati; Pseudomonadota; Gammaproteobacteria; Enterobacterales; Morganellaceae.